GAGGAGGGUGGCAGGAGAGAUCAGAAGUCCCUGGGAACUGAGCUCCUGGCUGUGGAGAGCUGGACUCUGCUCCUCACAGUGAAUGACCCCAGCCCCCAGGCAGAGCCCGGGCAUCUCUAGGUCAGCCAGCCCACCACCUGCUUUGCAAAUGAAGUCGUGCUUGUACCCAGCUGUGUUCAUCCAUUUUCAGAGGACUAGGUGGCGGAGUUGACUAGUUGGAACAGAGACAGGGGCUUGAAAGGGGAACGUUCUUACUACCUGGCCCCUGCAGGAAAAGUGCCCCUGGAGAGCACUCAGAGACGUGGUGCUGGUGAGGGCACAGCUGACUUCUCUCCUGUCAGAGCAGAGUACUGGUGUUGCGCUCUGCUGGUCCACGUGCGCGUGGGGCUGGGAUGUCUGUGAGAACUGUGGAGAGAGGCCCUGCUCGCACAGAAGAGCACAGGACUGGAAAAGGUAGACCCAUUUGAGGUUUGUACCUACCCCCACUCUUCCCUCCCAGGUUUAGACUGGGAACUAAACUGGUUCAUCAGCUUUGGUCUUAUGGAAUGAUAUUUUAUAUUCUUUCUUUUUAAAUAUUUUUUUAGUUGUAGUUGGACACAAUAACUUUAUUUUAUUUAUUUUUAGGUGGUGCUGCGGAUUGAACCCAGCAUCUCGAAUGUGCUAGGUGAGCACUCUACCGCUGAGCCAUAAUUCCAGCCCCAUAGUUUAUACAUUCUUAUUUGUUUCCUUUAUUAGUGUUUUUGUUUGUUUUCUUAUUGG
RNAcentral lists this long non-coding RNA (759 nucleotides) under Marmota monax (woodchuck). Lineage: Eukaryota; Metazoa; Chordata; Mammalia; Rodentia; Sciuridae. The record is from RNAcentral.